CAACGUAAAGAACCUAUCCUAUAGCGGGGGAUAGCCCUGGGAAACUGGGGGUAAUACCGCAUAAGCCAGAGGUAGCGCAUGCUAUGUUUGGGAAAGGCAGAUGAAAGUCUGUCACUAAAGGAGGGCUUUGCGGCCUAUCAGGUAGUUGGUGGGGUAACGGCCUACCAAGCCAAAGACGGGUAGCUGGUCUGAGAGGAUGGUCAGCCACACUGGGACUGAGAUACGGCCCAG
This 231-nucleotide ribosomal RNA is filed under the name uncultured bacterium. RNAcentral's name for it is "partial 16S ribosomal RNA". It matches the Rfam family "Bacterial small subunit ribosomal RNA", at positions 113 to 334 of the family's 1533-position model. The record is from RNAcentral.